Molecule: long non-coding RNA, 401 nt
Organism: Hipposideros armiger (great roundleaf bat)
Lineage: Eukaryota; Metazoa; Chordata; Mammalia; Chiroptera; Hipposideridae
Exons: 3
Source: RefSeq, a predicted model, not a curated record
GGGGCGCAUUGCCCUGCUGCGGGAGGAGGGCUGCGCGCGGUGUCUGCGGGAAGGAGUCCGCAGCGAGCGAGAGCCGGGGCGAGAGGCCCAGAGGCCCGCUGAGCCGCGCGGGGAACCCCCGGGCGCAACCGGGCGGGAGGCCGCCGCCGCCAGGCAGACAGGCCCCGUAGGGCCUGGCGCGGAGAAGGACGUGCGCUGUGGCGACGCGGAGGAGAGAGGCGCCGCGGCCUGAGUGAGACCCAGUGAAAAGAGCAUGACAUUUGGAGGCGGAAGACUUGGUUUCAAAUCCCUGCUGCUUCCUCACUGAUUUUAUAAUUUGGAAAUAUCUAUGCAAGAUGUUGACACUGCAAACUUGGACAGUGCAAGCCUUGUUUAUUUUUCUCACCACUGAAUCUUUAGGU